RNAcentral lists this ribosomal RNA (883 nucleotides) under uncultured Mucoromycotina. Its description in RNAcentral is "SSU rRNA". It matches the Rfam family "Eukaryotic small subunit ribosomal RNA", at positions 630 to 1541 of the family's 1831-position model. Lineage: Eukaryota; Fungi. The record is from RNAcentral.
GUAGUUGAAUUUUAGCCUUGGCUGGGUGGUCCACCAAUGGAUGGUACUGCUCUGGCUGGGGUUCACUUUCUGGUGAGCCGGUAUGCUCUUCACUGGGUGUGCCGAGGAACCAGGACUUUUACUUUGAAAAAAUUAGAGUGUUUAAAGCAGGCCUAUGCUUGAAUACAUUAGCAUGGAAUAAUAGAAUAGGACUUUGGUUCUAUUUUGUUGGUUUCUAGGACCGAAGUAAUGAUUAAUAGGGAUAGUUGGGGGCAUUAGUAUUUAGUAGCUAGAGGUGAAAUUCUUGGAUUUAUGAAAGACUAACUUCUGCGAAAGCAUUUGCCAAGGAUGUUUUCAUUAAUCAAGAACGAAAGUUAGGGGAUCGAAGACGAUCAGAUACCGUCGUAGUCUUAACCAUAAACUAUGCCGACUAGGGAUCAGACGAUGUUACUUUACUGACUCGUUUGGCACCUUAUGAGAAAUCAAAGUUUUUGGGUUCCGGGGGGAGUAUGGUCGCAAGGCUGAAACUUAAAGGAAUUGACGGAAGGGCACCACCAGGAGUGGAGCCUGCGGCUUAAUUUGACUCAACACGGGGAAACUCACCAGGUCCAGACAUAGUAAGGAUUGACAGAUUGAGAGCUCUUUCUUGAUUCUAUGGGUGGUGGUGCAUGGCCGUUCUUAGUUGGUGGAGUGAUUUGUCUGCUUAAUUGCGUUAACGAACGAGACCUUAACCUGCUAAAUAGUUAUGCCAACUUUUGUUGGUAGUCAACUUCUUAGAGGGACUGUCGGCGAUUAGCCGAUGGAAGUUUUAGGCAAUAACAGGUCUGUUAUGCCCUUAGAUGUCCUGGGCCGCACGCGCGCUACACUGAUGAAGUCAACGAGUCUAUAACCUUGGCCGGAAGGU